RNAcentral lists this ribosomal RNA (440 nucleotides) under uncultured bacterium. Its description in RNAcentral is "partial 16S ribosomal RNA". It matches the Rfam family "Bacterial small subunit ribosomal RNA", at positions 338 to 795 of the family's 1533-position model. The record is from RNAcentral.
CCUACGGGAGACAGCAGUGGGGGAUAUUGCACAAUGGGGGGAACCCUGAUGCAGCGACGCCGCGUGGGUGAAGAAGGGCCUCGGCGCGUAAAGCCCUGUCAGCAGGGAAGAAAAUGACGGUACCUGAAGAAGAAGCACCGACUCACUACGUGCCAGCAGCCGCGGUAAGACGUAGGGGGCAAGCGUUAUCCGGAUUUACUGGGUGUAAAGGGGGCGCAGACGGCGAUGCAAGCCAGGAGUGAAAGCCCGGGGCCCAACCCCGGGACUGCUGUUGGAACUGCGUGGCUGGAGUGCAGGAGAGGCAUGCGGAAUGCCUGGUGUAGCGGUGAAAUGCGUAGAUAUCAGGAGGAACACCGGUGGCGAAGGCGGCCUGCUGGACUGCCACUGACAUUGAUGCUCGAAAGUGUGGGUAUCAAACAGGAUUAGAUACCCGUGUAGUC